GGGGUUGUUUUGAGAAAGUGGUGAGCCAUGGUGAGAAAGAGGGGUUGUUUUGAGAAAGAGGGGUCAUUUUGAGAAAGUUGUGAGUCAUGGUGAGAAAGAAGGGGUUGUUUUGAGAAAGUGGUAAGCCAUGGUAAGGCAGUGAGGGGUUGUUUUGAGAAAGUGGUGAGUCACGGUGAGAAAAUGAGGGGUUGUUUUGAGAAAGUGGUGAGUCAUGGUGAGAUAUAAGGGGUUGUAUUGAGAAAGUUGUAAAUCAUGGUGAGAAAGAGGGGUUAUUUUGAGAAAGUGGGGAGCCAUGGUAAGUAAGAGGGGGGUUGUUUUGAGAAAGUUGUGAGUCAUGGUGAGAAAGAGGGGGGUUAUUUUGAGAAAGUGGUGAGUCAUGGUGAGAAAUAGGGGUUGUUUUGAGAAAGUUGUGAGUCAUGGUGAGAAAGAGGGGUUAUUUUGAGAAAGUGGUGAGUCACGGUGAGAAAAUGAGGGGUUGUUUUGAGAAAGUGGUGAGUCAUGGUGAGAUAUAGGGGGGUUGUUUUGAGAAAGUGGUGAGUCAUGGUGAGAAAGAGGGGGGUUGUUUUG
This is a long non-coding RNA of Silurus meridionalis, 567 nucleotides long. RefSeq lists it as uncharacterized. The record is from RefSeq and is a predicted model, not a curated record. The transcript has 3 exons. NCBI's taxonomy places the organism in Eukaryota, Metazoa, Chordata, Actinopteri, Siluriformes, Siluridae.